Molecule: long non-coding RNA, 1584 nt
Organism: Nelumbo nucifera (sacred lotus)
Lineage: Eukaryota; Viridiplantae; Streptophyta; Magnoliopsida; Proteales; Nelumbonaceae
Source: RefSeq, a predicted model, not a curated record
UAGAAUUACCACGAGUCAAAGUUGAACAACAUUAACUAAAAUAAAACUUGUCUUAUCAAAUAUGAUUGAUUGACAAGAAAUUGUAUGGUGAUAAUCUUGCAAAACUCUGCCAAAUGGGCGGGUUCGCAUCUAACGCCCACAUAGUUGCCCCCCAAAACCGUCCCAUACAUUUUAUGCACGCCGAGUGUCCUCAGGCACGCGCACUAAGAUGGCUCGUGCAGACCUCAAUUUGACGUCCGUUUGCAAAAAGGUUUAAUCCCUUACUCCGGGUAUUCUCCCAUUCUCGUGUCAAACUGAAACCUUGGCGCCCCCCUUCUAUAGCCCACCGGAGAUUAACUCUUUCGAGUUCCGCCGGUCGAUGCGACGAUCAUACCGAGAUCUGAAAUCCGCCGGAGUCAGAGCCUAUUUCUUGUUGAAUCUGAGCUCAAAGGGAGACCCACUUUUCAGAAGAAGCAAGACCGUGACUUAAAGCAGACGUGUCUUAAAGGUCCAAAACAAGAGGCCGAGACCUAGAGCCACAGCUUUAUAUACAAUACAAUUCAACUGAUCAAUUAAUCCAUGAAAGCCAUAGCAACUCUCUUCAUCCAUCUCCCAAGGAAAAGCAGCACUAAGCUAAACAUGUUCUCACUUUCAGACAUGCCUUCGUGUCGACGAUGCUAUCAGCCUAUGCCUCCUUGACCGCUUCCACCAUGCUCAUUCGGUUGGUGGCCAACGAGUUCAUACCCCAUCAGAUCCAAGACUACAUUUUCUCGGGCCUCCGCUACCUAUUCUCCCCUCGGCCUUCUCAGCUCAUGCUCAUCUUCGAAGAAUUCAGUGGGAUCACCCGCAAUCAAGUCUAUGAGGCGGCCGAGUUGUACCACGAAGAUCACCCCCUCGAUCGAACGUCUAAAGGUGUGCAAGGCCCCCAGAGAAAAGAACCUUGCCAUCACAAUAAAGAAAGGCAAAGAGGCCGUGGAUGCCUUCGAAGGAGUUCAGCUCAAAUGGAAAUUCGUUUGCUCUGAUAACGAGAGGACUGGCGGAGCGAUAAUUUGAGCUCAGAUUCAACAAGAAAUACAGAGAAUAGGUGUUGGAUUUUUUACUUGCAAUUUGUGUUAAGCAAAUCGAAGGCACUCAAGGAGGAUAAGAAGGUAGUAAAGCUUCAUACUCUCGGCUUCUUUUACGAGGAGGCGGAGGCGGAGGUGUAUGGGGAUCAAUCAAUCUCGACCCACUCCCCUGUUUGAACGGUAUGAACAAAAGAGGGGACUGGGUUUUAGCUCGGUUACUCGUGAAAAUCGGUUGAAAACUGUUGGAAAAUGGGGUCACUGUACUUUUGGAGGAUAAGUUCUAUUUGCCCCUUACGAGUUUGCUAUUGGGUUAUAAACAAAUCUGUUCCCAGGAUACAAUAGAACUUUGGGCAAGAAUCAGCGAUCACCAAAGUUGAAAAAUCUCCAAAAAAACCUUUUGUGAGGCUGUAGCAUACCGAACUGAGAGAGAGAGUGGAUUUCGAAAAUCUGUGUUUUUGAAGUCUGAUUCCUACUACUUAGUUAACUUUGAAUUGUGCUUCUUGAUCACACUCAAUUGAAUCGUGAUUGUUAAUUUCAUCAA